RNAcentral lists this ribosomal RNA (468 nucleotides) under uncultured bacterium. RNAcentral's name for it is "partial 16S ribosomal RNA". It matches the Rfam family "Bacterial small subunit ribosomal RNA", at positions 28 to 507 of the family's 1533-position model. The record is from RNAcentral.
GACGAACGCUGGCGGCGUGCUUAACACAUGCAAGUCGAACGGAAAGGCCCUGCUUUUGUGGGGUGCUCGAGUGGCGAACGGGUGAGUAACACGUGAGUAACCUGCCCUUGACUUUGGGAUAACUUCAGGAAACUGGGGCUAAUACCGGAUAGGAGCUCCUGCUGCAUGGUGGGGGUUGGAAAGUUUCGGCGGUUUGGGAUGGACUCGCGGCUUAUCAGCUUGUUGGGGGGGUAGUGGCUUACCAAGGCUUUGACGGGUAGCCGGCCUGGGAGGGGGACCGGGCUCCAUGGGCCUACGGUACCCGCCCGUAGCCCACCGGGGGCAAGGGGGGGGAACUUUUCCGAGAGGGGCGGAGGGAUUGUGGAAGACCUCCGGGUGGGGAAACUCGGCUUUCGGGUAAGAACACGUUUGGCCCUAACAGGGCGCGUAGUGACGGUUAAUGGGUAAAAAGCCACGGCUAACUACGUG